RNAcentral lists this ribosomal RNA (296 nucleotides) under uncultured bacterium. Its description in RNAcentral is "partial 16S ribosomal RNA". It matches the Rfam family "Bacterial small subunit ribosomal RNA", at positions 773 to 1060 of the family's 1533-position model. The record is from RNAcentral.
GUGGAUUAGAUACCCUGGUAGUCCACGCCGUAAACGUUGGGCACUAGGUGUGGGAGGUUUUUAUUCCUUCUUUGCCGAAGCUAACGCAUUAAGUGCCCCGCCUGGGGAGUACGGUCGCAAGGCUAAAACUCAAAGGAAUUGACGGGGGCCCGCACAAGCGGUGGAGCAUGUGGUUUAAUUCGACGCAACGCGAAAAACCUUACCUGGGCUUGACAUGCUGGUAGUAGUGAACCGAAAGGGAAACGAUCCUGAGCAAUCAGGAAGCCAACACAGGUGCUGCACGGCCGUCGACAACU